AGUUUGAUCAUGGCUCAGGAUGAACGCUAGCUACAGGCUUAACACAUGCAAGUCGAGGGUAGCAGGUAGCAAUACCGCUGACGACCGGCGCACGGGUGGUAACACGUAUCCAACCUUCCCAUAACUCAGGGAUAGCCUUUCGAAAGAAAGAUUAAUACCUGAUAGUACUUUUUCAAGGCAUCUUGAGAAAGUUAAAGAUUUAUUGGUUAUGGAUGGGGAUGCGUUCCAUUAGAUAGUUGGUGAGGUAACGGCUCACCAAGUCUUCGAUGGAUAGGGGUUCUGAGAGGAAGGUCCCCACAUUGGUACUGAGACACGGACCAAACUCCUACGGGAGGCAGCAGUGAGGAAUAUUGGUCAAUGGGCGAGAGCCUGAACCAGCCAAGUAGCGUGAAGGAUGAAGGUCCUAUGGAUUGUAAACUUCUUUUAUAGUAGAAUAAAGUGAUCCACGUGUGGAUUUUUGUAUGUAUACUAUGAAUAAGGAUCGGCUAACUCCGUGCCAGCCGCAGC
RNAcentral lists this ribosomal RNA (507 nucleotides) under uncultured bacterium. Its description in RNAcentral is "bacterial SSU rRNA". It matches the Rfam family "Bacterial small subunit ribosomal RNA", at positions 10 to 518 of the family's 1533-position model. The record is from RNAcentral.